This is a long non-coding RNA of Apis cerana (Asiatic honeybee), 696 nucleotides long. RefSeq lists it as uncharacterized. The record is from RefSeq and is a predicted model, not a curated record. Lineage: Eukaryota; Metazoa; Arthropoda; Insecta; Hymenoptera; Apidae.
UUUUACAGUUAAAGUGUUAUACACUAAUUCAAUUUUCCGCGCGAUUAUAAGCGAAUAAGAAACCAUAACAUUCCGGCCAAUAGAAUAACAAUAAGGCGAAGCUGCGCGGCGACAUGUCAUUCUACCGCCGAAAAUUGUGUUGAUAGGACGUAUUACGCCGGCAGAGAUUGAUAUCAGAGAAAUAAUAAUUUAGAGCAUAUAUAAAGUGUAUUUGCCGAUGAUUUGUCAAUGACUUCCUUGCAAAUUUGAAUUCGAUAUUAUUAGAGUCAUCAAUGUGGCAGAAGUCAAUUCAUCAAGAAAAUAAUGGAAUUAUCUCUCACGUGAAAAGGAGGUACUAUUGCAUAUCGUUUUCAAUGAUGAUUUGAAUGUAAUUUUUAUAUUAGUCAUAAAAAAAUUGUAGAGGGCAUAAAAAACACUUUAAUCUUUUCAAAGUCGGUAUUUCAGAAUAUAUGAUGCAAAAUUCCAUAAGAUGUCACUUAUUCGUCGUGUAUUUCGUUACCGAUCUUUGAUAAUUUAAACUAUUGAGUGAAAAGAACAUUAAAAAAAAAAAAAGAAUUGCUAUUUACGACAUAAAUUUAUAGCAAUUAAAUACUCAAGAAAAAGAAAAGAGAAAGGAAAGAAAUAUAUAGUUUUAAUUUGUCUAUAAAUAUAUUCAAAGUAUUUUUCAACGAUUUAUGUAAAAAUUUAUAUAUUAUU